UCAUUUUCUUCAUUGGAAAAAGUUUAAAUGUGAAAAUCUAAACUACCCCAUACAUACAGUUAGGUAUGAAGACUUGAAAACGAGACCAGUUGAGGAGAUUAAAAAGAUGGCUGACUUUCUGGAUAUUGAAUGUUCAGAAAAGAUGUGUCAAGACAUUGCCAUGGCAACCGACUUUUCUAAAAUGAAACAACAGAAGGAAUCGCUUACCCACCGAUUGAUAUCUAUAUAUAAAAGUGAAAAAGAAGUAAUUUAUAGAAAAGGACAAAUAGGAGACUGGAAAAAUAAUUUUUCAUCUGCAGAAUCAGAAUCCUUUGAUGCUUAUUAUCGUGGUAUAUUAGAUCCUCUUGAUCAUAUAUAUCUCACAGAUAAACCUUCACCUGAACAAUCAAACUAAACUUGUGGUAUAUUAGAUCACCUUGAUCAACUGAUCAAUCAAACUAAACUCGUGGUAUAUUAAACCCUCUUUAUCAA
Long non-coding RNA from Patella vulgata (common limpet), 471 nucleotides. RefSeq lists it as uncharacterized. The record is from RefSeq and is a predicted model, not a curated record. Lineage: Eukaryota; Metazoa; Mollusca; Gastropoda; Patellidae. The transcript is spliced from 3 exons.